CAUAAGCUUUUAUUCCAAAAAAAUUUAUUAUCAUUUAAUAAUUUCUUUUGAGUAAUAAAUAUACUAAAUCUAAAAUAUGAAUUUUACACGCAUCGUCUCCUUUUUAACAAUAACGGUAUUCGUUAUUCAGACAAUAACUUCAGGUGUUAUUGGGAACGACAAUGAAAAAAAACACCAACACGUAAUUGCAAUUGGUGGUAAUAUA
Adelges cooleyi (spruce gall adelgid) is the source of this 205-nucleotide long non-coding RNA. RefSeq lists it as uncharacterized. NCBI's taxonomy places the organism in Eukaryota, Metazoa, Arthropoda, Insecta, Hemiptera, Adelgidae. The record is from RefSeq and is a predicted model, not a curated record. The transcript is spliced from 3 exons.